GUGGAUUAGAUACCCUGGUAGUCCACGCCGUAAACGUUGGGCACUAGGUGUGGGGUCUUAUCAACGGAUUCCGUGCCGUAGCUAACGCAUUAAGUGCCCCGCCUGGGGAGUACGGCCGCAAGGCUAAAACUCAAAGGAAUUGACGGGGGCCCGCACAAGCGGCGGAGCAUGUUGCUUAAUUCGAGGCGACGCGAAGAACCUUACCUGGGUUGAACUACGCAGGAAAAGCCACAGAGAUGUGGUGUCCUUCGGGGCCUGUGAUAGGUGGUGCUCGGUUGUCGUCAGCU
RNAcentral lists this ribosomal RNA (287 nucleotides) under uncultured bacterium. Its description in RNAcentral is "partial 16S ribosomal RNA". It matches the Rfam family "Bacterial small subunit ribosomal RNA", at positions 773 to 1060 of the family's 1533-position model. The record is from RNAcentral.